Molecule: ribosomal RNA, 807 nt
Filed under: uncultured bacterium
Lineage: Bacteria
Description: bacterial SSU rRNA
Rfam family: Bacterial small subunit ribosomal RNA
Source: RNAcentral
UGCAAGUCGAACGGACUCUUCGGAGUUAGUGGCGGACGGGUGAGUAACACGUGGGAACGUGCCUUUUGGUUCGGAAUAGCUCCUGGAAACGGGUGGUAAUGCCGAAUGUGCCCUUCGGGGGAAAGAUUUAUCGCCAUUAGAGCGGCCCGCGUCUGAUUAGCUAGUUGGUGAGGUAAAGGCUCACCAAGGCUACGAUCAGUAGCUGGUCUGAGAGGAUGACCAGCCACAUUGGGACUGAGACACGGCCCAAACUCCUACGGGGGGCAGCAAUUAGGAAUCUUGCGCAAUGGACGAAAGUCUGACGCAGCGACGCCGCGUGAGGGAUGACGGCCUUCGGGUUGUAAACCUCUUUUGCCGAGGAAGAAGAAUGUGACGGUACUCGGUGAAUAAGCCCCGGCUAACUACGUGCCAGCAGCCGCGGUAAUACGUAGGGGGCGAGCGUUGUCCGAAGUUACUGGGCGUAAAGCGCGCGUAGGCGGCUUUUUAAGUCUGGGGUGAAAGGUUCAACGCUCAACGUGAACAGUGCCUUGGAUACUGGGAAGCUUGAAUGUGGCAGAGGAUAGUGGAAUGGCUGGUGUAGCGGUGAAAUGCGUAGAUAUCAGUCGGAACACCCAUGGCGAAGGCAGCUAUCUGGGCUAACAUUGACGCUGAGGUGCGAAAGCGUGGGGAGCGAACGGGAUUAGAUACCCCGGUAGUCCACGCCGUANACGAUGAGUGCUAGGUGUAGGCGGUAUCGACCCCGCCUGUGCCGUCGCUAACGCAUUAAGCACUCCGGCCUGGGGAGUACGGCCGCAAGGUUGAAACUCA